RNAcentral lists this long non-coding RNA (848 nucleotides) under Hordeum vulgare. RNAcentral's name for it is "long non-coding RNA (HVUL_LNC017471)". The record is from RNAcentral. Lineage: Eukaryota; Viridiplantae; Streptophyta; Magnoliopsida; Poales; Poaceae.
UUCUCGACCGGAUGAACUCUCCAGAAACAUAUCGGAGAGGAGGGGGAACUACAUCGCUCGAGGAAAGAUACCAUAAGAAGACCAACUGAACCCCAAGAAACCAUACCAAGGAACGACAACCUGAAUCCUUAGAAAACAAAAUAUAACCAACAUAGUUGCGUGUGCAUUUCUAAAUGUGCAUGUGCAGCAUUACUGGACCGUGUUUUAAGAGCGACAAACUACUAAGACAAACAACUUUCGAAGGUCAAAAUGGCUCCGAAUGCAUCUGUACCGAGAUGAACAAUAGAUGCCGCCCCUUCAAUAAAUAAUAUUAUAUUGUUCUGAUAACUUGUUUGAUGCAUUGGGAGAAUAAUACCCUUUUAAGUAACUUUAUGAAUUCGUGUGCACUUAUAAGAAGGGUGUACCAAAGCAAAACUUAAUUUAAGAAUAGAGAAAAAAGCUUUCUCUGCCCACAUAUAUGGGGUCUAUUGCUUUGAUUUGCUAAGACUAGAGUUCAAGUAACAGAUCAACCCCAUUAGUAUGUUGUUUGUGAUAUGCAAUUACAAUCAUGAGUAAUUAUCUGCCAAUGCUUUUCUCGACCGGAUGAACCCUCCAGGAACAUAUCGGAGAGGAGGGGGGACUACAUCGCUCGAGGAAAGAUACCAUAGGAAGACCAACCGAACCCUAAGAAACCAUAUCAAGGAACGACCAACUGAAUCCUUAGAAAACAAAAUAAAACCAACAUAGUUGCGUGUGCAUUUCUAAAUGUGCAUGUGCAGCAUUAGUGGACCGUGUUUUAAGAGCGACAAACUACUAAGACAGACAACUUUCGAAGGUCAAAAUGGCUUCGAAUGCAUCUGCGCUGAGAU